RNAcentral lists this non-coding RNA (1167 nucleotides) under Thalassospira sp. TSL5-1. RNAcentral's name for it is "bacterial LSU rRNA". It matches the Rfam family "Bacterial large subunit ribosomal RNA", at positions 1 to 1218 of the family's 2925-position model. Lineage: Bacteria; Pseudomonadati; Pseudomonadota; Alphaproteobacteria; Rhodospirillales; Thalassospiraceae. The record is from RNAcentral.
UCUCAAGCAUAAGAAGGGCAUCUGGUGGAUGCCUUGGCGUUAAGAGGCGAUGAAAGACGUGGCACUCUGCGAUAAGCUACGGUGAGCCGAGAGCAGGCUUUGACCCGUAGAUUUCUGAAUGGGGCAACCCCACCCAAUAGGGUGAUCAUGCAGUGAAUACAUAGCUGCAUGAGGCGAACCCGGAGAACUGAAACAUCUCAGUACCCGGAGGAAAGGACAUCAACCGAGACUCCGCAAGUAGUGGCGAGCGAACGCGGACCAGGCCAGUGGCCUAUGAUUAAGAACCGGAACGAUCUGGAAAGGUCGGCCAUAGUGGGUGAUAGCCCCGUACGGGUAGAAAGAUCAUAGGUCCUCGAGUAGGGCGGGACACGAGAAAUCCUGUCUGAACAUGGGGGGACCACCCUCCAAGCCUAAGUACUCCUUAACGACCGAUAGUGUACCAGUACCGUGAGGGAAAGGUGAAAAGCACCCCGAUAAGGGGAGUGAAAUAGUUCCUGAAACCGGAUGCCUACAAGCAGUUGGAGCCUCUUAAUGGGGUGACAGCGUACCUCUUGCAUAAUGGGUCAGCGAGUUAGUCUUACAAGCGAGCUUAAGCCGAUAGGUGUAGGCGCAGCGAAAGCGAGUCUGAAUAGGGCGAUUGAGUUUGUGGGAUUAGACCCGAAACCAGGUGAUCUAGCCAUGAGCAGGUUGAAGGUGAUGUAACAGUCACUGGAGGACCGAACCCACGUCUGUUGAAAAAGACGGGGAUGACUUGUGGUUAGGGGUGAAAGGCCAAUCAAACCUGGAGAUAGCUGGUUCUCCGCGAAAUCUAUUUAGGUAGAGCGUCAGACGAAUACCUUCGGGGGUAGAGCACUGAAUGGGCUAGGGGGCCUUACCGGCUUACCAAACCUAAUCAAACUCCGAAUACCGAAGAGUAAUAUCUGGCAGACAGACUACGGGUGCUAAGGUCCGUGGUCGAGAGGGAAACAGCCCAGACCGCCAGUUAAGGUCCCAAAGUUGUGGCUAAGUGGGAAAGGAUGUAGGACGGCCAAGACAACCAGGACGUUGGCUUAGAAGCAGCCAUCGUUUAAAGAAAGCGUAACAGCUCACUGGUCUAAAUAAGCUGUCCCGCGCCGAAGAUGUACCGGGGCUCAAGCCACACACCGAAACUGCGGAUUUGUUCUUUUA